Molecule: ribosomal RNA, 292 nt
Filed under: uncultured bacterium
Lineage: Bacteria
Also listed under: 1 other name
Description: partial 16S ribosomal RNA
Source: RNAcentral
GGACUACACGGGUAUCUAAUCCUGUUUGCUCCCCACGCUUUCGUGCCUGAACGUCGGUGCUGGACCAGGAAGCCGCUUUCGCCACUGAUGUUCCUUCCGAUAUCUACGCAUUUCACCGCUACACCGGAAAUUCCGCUUCCCUCUUCCGCACCCUAGCCUUGCAGUCUCGAAUGCAAUUCCCAGGUUGAGCCCGGGGAUUUCACAUCCGACUUACAAAACCGUCUACGCACGCUUUACGCCCAGUAAUUCCGAUUAACGCUCGCACCCUCUGUAUUACCGCGGCUGCUGGCAC